AGAGUUUGAUCAUGGCUCAGGAUGAACGCCAGCUACAGGCUUAACACAUGCAAGUCGAGGGGCAGCAUCAUCAAAGCUUGCUUUGAUGGAUGGCACCGGCGCACGGGUGAGUAACACGUAUCCAACCUGCCGACAACACUGGGAUAGCCUUUCGAAAGAAAGAUUAAUACCGGAUGGCAUAGUUUCCCACAUGGGAUGAUUAUUAAAGAAUUUCGGUUGUCGAUGGGGAUGCGUUCCAUUAGGCAGUUGGCGGGGUAACAGCCCACCAAACCAACGAUGGAUAGGGGUUCUGAGAGGAAGGUCCCCCACAUUGGAACUGAGACACGGUCCAAACUCCUACGGGAGGCAGCA
This 351-nucleotide ribosomal RNA is filed under the name uncultured bacterium. RNAcentral describes it as "bacterial SSU rRNA". It matches the Rfam family "Bacterial small subunit ribosomal RNA", at positions 8 to 353 of the family's 1533-position model. The record is from RNAcentral.